UGGGGGAUAUUGCACAAUGGGCGAAAGCCUGAUGCAGCGACGCCGCGUGGGGGAUGAAGGCCUUCGGGUUGUAAACUUCUUUUGCUCUGAACAAGGCGCACCAUGGGGUGUGUUGAGUGUAGGGGUUGAUUAGCGCCGGCUAACUACGUGCCAGCAGCCGCGGUAAUACGUAGGGCGCGAGCGGUGUCCGGAAUUAUUGGGCGUAAAGGGCUUGUAGGUGGCUGGUUGCGUCUGUCGUGAAAGCUCAUGGCUUAACUGUGGGUUUGCGGUGGGUACGGGCUGGCUUGAGUGCAGUAGGGGAGGCUGGAAUUCCUGGUGUAGCGGUGGAAUGCGCAGAUAUCAGGAGGAAUACCGGUGGCGAAGGCGGGUCUCUGGGCUGUUACUGACACUGAGGAGCGAAAGCAUGGGGAGCGAACAGG
Molecule: ribosomal RNA, 419 nt
Filed under: bacterium
Lineage: Bacteria
Description: partial 16S ribosomal RNA
Rfam family: Bacterial small subunit ribosomal RNA
Source: RNAcentral